RNAcentral lists this ribosomal RNA (253 nucleotides) under uncultured bacterium. RNAcentral's name for it is "partial 16S ribosomal RNA". It matches the Rfam family "Bacterial small subunit ribosomal RNA", at positions 524 to 776 of the family's 1533-position model. The record is from RNAcentral.
UACGAAGGGGGCAAGCGUUGUUCGGAAUUACUGGGCGUAAAGGGCGCGUAGGCGGUGCACUAAGUCAGGCGUGAAAGCCCUGGGCUCAACCCGGGAAUUGCGCUUGAUACUGGUGCGCUUGAAUCCAGGAGAGGUUGGUGGAAUUCCCAGUGUAGAGGUGAAAUUCGUAGAGAUUGGGAAGAACACCGGUGGCGAAGGCAGCCCCCUGGGCCGACACUGACGCUCAGGCACGAAAGCGUGGGGAGCAAACAGG